RNAcentral lists this ribosomal RNA (460 nucleotides) under uncultured bacterium. RNAcentral describes it as "partial 16S ribosomal RNA". It matches the Rfam family "Bacterial small subunit ribosomal RNA", at positions 338 to 795 of the family's 1533-position model. The record is from RNAcentral.
CCUACGGGAGGCUGCAGUGAGGAAUAUUGGUCAAUGGUCGCGAGACUGAACCAGCCAAGUCGCGUGAGGGAUGAAGGUACAGAGUAUCGUAAACCUCUUUUGUCAGGGAACAAAGGCGGGGACGUGUCCCCGGAUGAGUGUACCUGAAGAAAAAGCAUCGGCGAACUCCGUGCCAGCAGCCGCGGUAAUACGUAGGUGGCAAGCGUUGUCCGGAUUUACUGGGUGUAAAGGGCGUGUAGCCGGGCUGACAAGGCAGAUGUGAAAUCCGGGGGCUCAACCCCCGAACUGCAGUUGAAACUGUUGGUCUUGAGUAGCGGAGAGGCAGGCGGAAUGCCUAGUGUAGCGGUGAAAUGCGUAGAUAUUAGGAGGAACACCAGUGGCGAAGGCGGCAUGCUGGACGACAACUGACGGUGAGGCGCGAAAGCGUGGGGAGCAAACAGGAUUAGAUACCCGUGUAGUC